AUUGAACGCUGGCGGCAGGCCUAACACAUGCAAGUCGAACGAGUGGCGGACGGGUGAGUAAUGUCUGGGAAACUGCCCGAUGGAGGGGGAUAACUACUGGAAACGGUAGCUAAUACCGCAUACCAUCGGAUGUGCCCAGAUGGGAUUAGCUAGUAGGUGGGGUAACGGCUCACCUAGGCUGCGAUCCCUAGCUGGUCUGAGAGGAUGACCAGCCACACUGGAACGGAGACACGGUCCAGACUCCUACGGGAGGCAGCAGUGGGGAAUAUUGCACACUGGGGGCAAGCCUGAUGCAGCCAUGCCGCGUGUAUGAAGAAGGCCUUCGGGUUGUAAAGUACUUUCAUCGAGGAGGCGUUACUCGCAGAAGAAGCACCGGCUAACUCCGUGCCAGCAGCCGCGGUAAUAC
RNAcentral lists this ribosomal RNA (406 nucleotides) under uncultured bacterium. RNAcentral's name for it is "partial 16S ribosomal RNA". It matches the Rfam family "Bacterial small subunit ribosomal RNA", at positions 30 to 526 of the family's 1533-position model. The record is from RNAcentral.